This is a non-coding RNA of Halorubrum sp. J07HR59, 83 nucleotides long. NCBI's taxonomy places the organism in Archaea, Methanobacteriati, Methanobacteriota, Halobacteria, Halobacteriales, Haloferacaceae. The record is from Rfam.
CCCGUGGGAACGGGACGAAAUGUGGCCUGUCUGAGCCGGGCUCCACGGUGAACCCCCGACUCUCAAUCAGGCUGAAUCGCAAG